GGGAGAGGAAGAGUGGUGGUUUCAGGGAAGGUUUCAUGGGAGGAGACUGAGAAGAAUGGUCCUUGAGCCCCUCACUAAGCAAAAUACCACUGGUUCUGAAUUCUGCCAAAGUUCAGCUCUUCAGCUCAUGAUGCUGCUGCCUCGUGGUUCACCCUCCUUUCCCAGCUACAUCCAGGAGCCAUUGACCAGAAGUGAUGAAGCAGAACAUGUGACAACUGAUUCACAGGAGUUACUGGGCACACUUGGUUGCUGCUCUUGGCGUUGACUGCUGUGAGGCCCAGCGACCCGAGGCCGUUCCUGGUUGAGAGAACCAAAUCAUUCACUCCUUCCUUACUUCUUUCAGUUCUUUGAAACAUGUGUUCAUCCAUUCAUUCAUCAAUCUCAGCUGACUUCCUCUGUGACUCUCAGAGGUGGGUCUGAAAGACAUUUUAGAGCAACCCUAAAGAGUCUCAGGGUAACUGGGCUAAAUCAGCAUUGCUAGGACUUUGAAUAUUAAAGACAUGCUUUGGUUAAAAUACCUGAUGAAGCCUUGGCAGGAGGGGAUGAAUAACCUGGAAAGCCAUAGCAUCUGAGGCCUGAGUUUUCACCUACGUAAGCUCUAAUGCACUGAAAUAUAACCACCUACCUAUUUGCCUGCCUUCUGCUCAGCAGUCAGCUUCUGGAGGUCUUGUAUCCCAGCACCCAGCGCAGGUCUUGGCAAAUAGUAGGAGCUUAACAAAUAUUUGUUGAGUAAAUUGAAUGAGAUUGGGCAGAUUCCCAUGAUGUCAGCCUGUGAGGUCUUUUUCAAGAGGUAGGUGUACUCAGCAGCUCCUGUGGAGCGUUUUAGAAGGGGGAGUUAGUACCUUGGGGGCAAGGACUGCCUCUCAUUCAUCUCUGUAUCUGGAGUGCUAUGUUUGCUUAAGGAAUGAGUAAAUGUCUGUAUUGCUCAAGGGGUGGCCAUGUAAUAAUCUAUUGGGAUAGUCCCACCCUAUCUUCAGCUUGGAAGAAGAUCCUCAGGCAAUCAACACAGAAAUGUGCCAGACGGAUGCCUGAUUAUUGCUGAAACAUCUCCAGAGGGACCUGGAUGGGGGCAUUUUCUACAGGCCAUACUUUGAGUUUGUAAGCUCCUAUCAACAGCUCAAAAAUUCAAGGAGGUGGUUGGUAGUGCAAAGGGCAAGGCCUUGUUAGCCAGUUUGGGACACAAAUAACAGGAGCCAGAGGAAUGGCUUUAGCAACAGUACUUUGUUAUGACUGCAGGAAAGCCACCCAGGAAAUACAUGCCCUACUGUUGAUAACUACAAAAACAGGAAAUGAACAAAAGUAAUGACAAGAUGAAGGAAUGAGUUGGUCAAAGGGGAAAAAAACAACAACAAUAAAAAUGAGGCUCAUAAAUAUACCAUGAUUCUACCUUUCUUAAGUCCAUUCAUAAAAAUACAUUCAAUAUGGAUUUGCAUUAAAUAUAAAAACUAAAAAAAAGAUUAAACAAGUAGAAGAAAAUAUAAAUCACUUUUACCUGAUCUCUU
Canis lupus familiaris (dog) is the source of this 1502-nucleotide long non-coding RNA. RefSeq lists it as uncharacterized. The record is from RefSeq and is a predicted model, not a curated record. NCBI's taxonomy places the organism in Eukaryota, Metazoa, Chordata, Mammalia, Carnivora, Canidae. The transcript is spliced from 3 exons.